RNAcentral lists this ribosomal RNA (434 nucleotides) under uncultured bacterium. Its description in RNAcentral is "partial 16S ribosomal RNA". It matches the Rfam family "Bacterial small subunit ribosomal RNA", at positions 29 to 507 of the family's 1533-position model. The record is from RNAcentral.
AGCGAACGCUGGCGGCAGGCCUAACACAUGCAAGUCGAACGAACCCUUCGGGGUUUGUGGCGGACGGGUGAGUAACACGACGGAACGUUACUUUAGGGUCGGCAUAACUCAGAGAAACGGGUGCUAAUAGCGAACGUGUGCUUCGGCGGAAAGAUUUAUCGACUUGAGAGCGGCCGGCGUCUGAUUAGCUAGUUGGUUGAGGUAAUGGCUCACCAAGGCGACGAUCAGUAGAUGGGCUGAGAGGAUGGUCAGCAACAUCGGGAGUGAGACACGGCCUGAACUCCUACGGGAGGGAGGAGAGGGGAAUGGUGCGCAAUGGGCGGAAGGAUGACGGAUCCAUGCCGGGAGAAUGAUGAAGUUAUUAGGAUUGUAGAAUUCUUUUACCGGGGACGAUAAUGACGGUACCCAAAGAAGAAGCCACGGCUAACUACGUG